This 219-nucleotide long non-coding RNA is filed under the name Physcomitrium patens. RNAcentral's name for it is "long non-coding RNA (PPAT_LNC007858)". The record is from RNAcentral. Lineage: Eukaryota; Viridiplantae; Streptophyta; Bryopsida; Funariales; Funariaceae.
UAAAUUCUAAUAAAAAUCUAAAUAAAUCUUAAAUUCUAACCAAAUCCUGAUCCUAAUCCAACCUUAAUCAAAUCCUAGACAAAUCCUAAACCCUAAACAUACCCUAGUCAAAUCUUAGACAAAUCCUCAUCCUAACAAAUUCUAAUCAAUUCCAAAUCCUAAACAAACCCUAAUCAAAUCUUUAAAAAACCCUAGUCAAAUCCUAGUCAAACUCUAACU